Molecule: ribosomal RNA, 305 nt
Filed under: uncultured bacterium
Lineage: Bacteria
Description: bacterial SSU rRNA
Rfam family: Bacterial small subunit ribosomal RNA
Source: RNAcentral
CCUACGGGGGGCAGCAGUGGGGGAUAUUGCACAAUGGGGGGAACCCUGAUGCAGCGACGCCGCGCGGGUGAAGCAGCGCCUCGGCGCGUAAAGCCCUGUCAGCAGGGAAGAAAAUGACGGUACCUGAAGAAGAAGCCCCGGCUAACUACGUGCCAGCAGCCGCGGCAAUACGUAGGGGGCAAGCGGUAUCCGGAUUUACUGGGAGUAGAGGGAGCGUAGACGGCCAUUCAAGCCAGAUGUGAAAGCCCGGGGCUCAACCCCGGGACUGCAUUUGGAACUGUGUGGCUCGAGUGUCGGAGAGGCAG